CCUACGGGUGGCAGCAGUGGGGAAUAUUGGACAAUGGGGGGAACCCUGAUCCAGCGACGCCGCGUGAGUGAAGAAGUAUUUCGGUAUGUAAAGCUCUAUCAGCAGGGAAGAAAGAAAUGACGGUACCUGACUAAGAAGCCCCGGCUAACUACGUGCCAGCAGCCGCGGUAAUACGUAGGGGGCAAGCGUUAUCCGGAUUUACUGGGUGUAAAGGGAGCGUAGACGGCGAUGCAAGUCUGAAGUGAAAGGCGGGGGCCCAACCCCCGGACUGCUUUGGAAACUGUAUGGCUGGAGUGCAGGAGAGGUAGGAGGAAUGCGUAGGGUAGCGGUGAAAUGCGUAGAUAUUAGGAGGAACCCCAGGGGGGAGGACGGCUGACGGAACUGUAACGGACGUUGAGGCACGAAAGCGGGGGGAGCAAACAGGAUUAGAUACCCUUGUAGUC
RNAcentral lists this ribosomal RNA (443 nucleotides) under uncultured bacterium. RNAcentral describes it as "partial 16S ribosomal RNA". It matches the Rfam family "Bacterial small subunit ribosomal RNA", at positions 338 to 795 of the family's 1533-position model. The record is from RNAcentral.